Molecule: ribosomal RNA, 336 nt
Filed under: uncultured bacterium
Lineage: Bacteria
Description: partial 16S ribosomal RNA
Rfam family: Bacterial small subunit ribosomal RNA
Source: RNAcentral
CCUACGGGGGGCAGCAGUAGGGAAUAUUGCUCAAUGGGGGAAACCCUGAAGCAGCAACGCCGCGUGGAGGAUGAAGGUUUUAGGAUUGUAAACUCCUGUUGUUAGAGAAGAGGAUGACGGUAUCGAACGAAUAAGCACCGGCGAACUCCGUGCCAGCAGCCGCGGUAAGACGGAGGGUGCAAGCGUUCCUCGGAAUCACUGGGCGUAAAGAGUGCGUAGGCGGGGUACUAAGUCAGAUGUGAAAUCCUGUAGCUUAACUACAGAACUGCAUUUGAAACUGUUACUCUGGAGUGUGGGAGAUGUAUGUGUACUUCUUGGUGUAGGGGUCCUCUCCGU